This 254-nucleotide ribosomal RNA is filed under the name uncultured bacterium. RNAcentral's name for it is "partial 16S ribosomal RNA". It matches the Rfam family "Bacterial small subunit ribosomal RNA", at positions 524 to 776 of the family's 1533-position model. The record is from RNAcentral.
UACGGGGGGAGCAAGCGUUGUUCGGAUUUACUGGGCGUAAAGGGCGCGUAGGCGGCCUGUGCAAGUCAGUUGUGAAAUCUCCGAGCUUAACUCGGAAAGGUCAACUGAUACUGCUCGGCUAGAGUGCGGAAGGGGCAACUGGAAUUCUUGGUGUAGCGGUGAAAUGCGUAGAUAUCAAGAGGAACACCUGCGGCGAAGGCGGGUUGCUGGGCCGACACUGACGCUGAUGCGCGAAAGCUAGGGGAGCGAACGGG